RNAcentral lists this ribosomal RNA (392 nucleotides) under uncultured Glomeromycotina. RNAcentral's name for it is "SSU rRNA". It matches the Rfam family "Eukaryotic small subunit ribosomal RNA", at positions 569 to 968 of the family's 1831-position model. Lineage: Eukaryota; Fungi; Glomeromycota. The record is from RNAcentral.
AGCAGCCGCGGUAAUUCCAGCUCCAAUAGCGUAUAUUAAAGUUGUUGCAGUUAAAAGCUCGUAGUUGAAUUUCGGGGUUAGUAGAUUGGUCGUGCCACGGGUAUGUACUGGUCUUACUGAUUCCUCCUUCCUGAUGAACCGUAAUGCCAUUAAUUUGGUGUUGCGGGGAGACUGGACUGUUACUUUGAAAAAUUGAGUGUUUAAAGCAAGCCUACGCUUGAAUACAUUAGCAUGGAAUAAUGAAAUAGGACGUUCGAUCCUAUUUUGUUGGUUUCUAGGAUUGACGUAAUGAUUAAUAGGGAUAGUUGGGGGCAUUAGUAUUCAAUUGUCAGAGGUGAAAUUCUUGGAUUUAUUGAAGACUAACUACUGCGAAAGCAUUUGCCAAGGAUGUU